This 98-nucleotide signal recognition particle RNA is filed under the name Rhodobacter sp. RNAcentral's name for it is "signal recognition particle sRNA small type". It matches the Rfam family "Bacterial small signal recognition particle RNA". Rfam says of the family: The signal recognition particle (SRP) is a universally conserved ribonucleoprotein involved in the co-translational targeting of proteins to membranes. The record is from RNAcentral. Lineage: Bacteria; Pseudomonadati; Pseudomonadota; Alphaproteobacteria; Rhodobacterales. RNAcentral also lists the same sequence under 1 other name.
CGAGAGAUCGGCGCGGGCAGGCAUUUCGCCAACUCGGUCAGGUCCGGAAGGAAGCAGCCGCAACGAAUCCCGUCUGGGUCGUGUCCGGUCUCUCACCC